This 468-nucleotide ribosomal RNA is filed under the name uncultured bacterium. RNAcentral describes it as "partial 16S ribosomal RNA". It matches the Rfam family "Bacterial small subunit ribosomal RNA", at positions 28 to 507 of the family's 1533-position model. The record is from RNAcentral.
GACGAACGCUGGCGGCAUGCUUAACACAUGCAAGUCGAACGGAACGGCCCUGUUUUUGUGGGGUCCUCGACUGGCGACCGGGUGAGUAACACGUGGGUACCCUACCAUUGCCUUUGGGAUAACUUAAUGCAACUGAGUCUCAUCCCGGAUAGGAGCUACUGCUUCAGGGUGGGGGUGGGUAAGUUUCGGUGGUUGGGAGUGGACUGGCGGCGUAUGGGGUUGUUGGGUGGGUAGUGGAAGAGCAAGACUAUGACGGGUGGCCGGCCUGAGCGGCUGACCGGCCACAUUAGGACUGAGAUACGGCACAGACUCCUACGGGAGGCAGCAGUGCAGAAUAUUGCAUAAUGGGCGGAAGCCUGAUGCAGCAACGCCGCGUGCGGGAUGACGGCCUUCGGGUUGUAUUCCGCUUUCGCCUUUCACGAGGCGUGAGUGACGGUAACGGGUAAAGAAGCACCGGCUAACUACGUG